RNAcentral lists this ribosomal RNA (274 nucleotides) under uncultured bacterium. RNAcentral describes it as "partial 16S ribosomal RNA". It matches the Rfam family "Bacterial small subunit ribosomal RNA", at positions 523 to 796 of the family's 1533-position model. The record is from RNAcentral.
AUACGGAGGGCGCGAGCGUUGUUCGGAAUCACUGGGCGUAAAGCGGGUGUAGGCGGCCUGUCAAGUCAGAUGUGAAAGCCCACGGCUCAACCGUGGAAGUGCAUCUGAAACUGGCAGGCUUGAGUACCGGAGAGGGAAGUGGAAUUCCUGGUGUAGGGGUGAAAUCCGUAGAUAUCAGGAGGAACACCGGUGGCGAAGGCGACUUCCUGGACGGAUACUGACGCUGAGACCCGAAAGCGUGGGGAGCAAACAGGAUUAGAAACCCUAGUAGUCC